UCUCUGGAGGACUAGUGGUUAGGCCUUGGUGCUCUCACCACUGCGGCCUGUGUUCGAUUCCUGGCCAGGGAA
Molecule: non-coding RNA, 72 nt
Organism: Pangasius djambal
Lineage: Eukaryota; Metazoa; Chordata; Actinopteri; Siluriformes; Pangasiidae
Source: the annotation of a GenBank genome assembly